GUGGGGAAUCUUCCGCAAUGGACGAAAGUCUGACGGAGCAACGCCGCGUGAGUGAAGAAGGUUUUCGGAUCGUAAAGCUCUUUCGUUAGGGACGAACGUGCUCUUUGUGAAUAAUGAGGAGUAAUGACGGUACCUAAAUAAGAAGCCACGGCUAACUACGUGCCAGCAGCCGCGGUAAUACGUAGGUGGCAAGCGUUGUCCGGAAUUAUUGGGCGUAAAGCGCGCGCAGUCGGGAUAUCAAGUCUGUCUUAAAAGUGCGAGGCUCAACCUCGUGAGGGGACAGAAACUGGUAUUCUUGAGUGUCGUAGAGGAAAGUGGAAUUCCAAGUGUAGCGGUGAAAUGCGUAGAGAUUUGGAAGAACACCAGUGGCGAAGGCGACUUUCUGGACGAUGUCUGACGCUGAGGCGCGAAAGCCAGGGUAGCGAACGGGAUUAGAAACCCGGGUAGUCC
Molecule: ribosomal RNA, 450 nt
Filed under: uncultured bacterium
Lineage: Bacteria
Description: partial 16S ribosomal RNA
Rfam family: Bacterial small subunit ribosomal RNA
Source: RNAcentral